Molecule: long non-coding RNA, 2441 nt
Filed under: Equus asinus (donkey)
Lineage: Eukaryota; Metazoa; Chordata; Mammalia; Perissodactyla; Equidae
Description: lncRNA (ENSEASG00005025321.1)
Source: RNAcentral
GGGAGCUGUACAUGCGGCAGGCCUGGAGGGUGGCCUGUCUGGGAUAGACUCCUCUGGAGAUGCUUCCACAAGAUAAAAUUGAUAAAAUGCCUGGUGGCUUCCAACACAGUGAGAACAUAUGUGCUCUCCCAGUAAAGAGUCUGGGGCUUAAUUCGUGAUAAGACAACUGUGUGAACAAAAUGCAAAUUAUUAACUUCAGGGAAAACAAAGUCUUAGAAGAAAGGAAACGUAGUCUUAAUACUAUGUUCCUCAGCAGUAUUACAUAGCUCAGCAGAGUUACAUAGUCACAAGAAUUGUUGCAAUUAAUCUAACCCAAAUUGUGAUUUAACUAUUUGGGGAGGGUGCAUGGACAGAGAAUGCAAGUUUGUGGUGGUGGUGGUAAGAGAGAGAAUGCCAAAAAUGGAAAAAAUGCAAGAAGCAGCAACAUAGACAGGCUAUUUUGUGAUAAGGAGGAAAUACCAAAAGAAAUAGCUAAAAGGAUUGAAAACCUUUGCCUUUAGGGAGAAGGAAAGGGGAGCAGGGAGCUGCCAGCUUAUGAAAUAAAACGACUUGACUCAUUAUGGACAACACUGAUGGAAACCAAGAUUAAAUUUUAAAAAUCACAAGGCCCACCCAUACUUUUGUUGGAAAGAGGGAAGAAGGGAAAUAAACAGUUUAAAAUCAAGCUUAGGUUGCAGUAGCAGCAAGAUAUUCAGGCAAUCUGAGAUAUGAGACUAGAGCUCAGGAGGCAAGUCGAGGUUUGGAGUAGAGAUUUUGUACUUAUUUAGAUGGAAGAGAAUUAGCUCUAUAGGAAAAAUGAUAUUGAGAAGAAAGAGAAGAGGGCUUGAACACAAACAUUUUGUAAGCGCCGUUUAGAGUGUCAGGAGAGAAAGAGACUCCCUUAAGAGAGCUGCCAAGAAAACCAAGGAAAAGAGGAGUUUCAAUGCUGGGGGAAGGGAGGGUGAACAAGGUCAAGUGCGCAGGGGGUCAAAGAGGCCCAGACCAUUAGAAUAAACAAUGAAAUUUCUAAGGAGGGUAUUCUCAUCUAAGGAUUAAGUUCACACCCUGUAAUGAGCCUUAAAUUAAAAAUAGGUUUUGGGUUUUGGAAUGAUCUUGUAUUUUUCCAGGUCACCACACAAUGACAGUGACCCUGUUUUCAAUAAAUACACAGUUGUCUUUCAUGGUGCAGUUGCACAAACCCUGCAUUAAUAAGAAAGUGAAUCUUAGGGCAUAUUGUCAUUGCCAUUCCCAUACAAAGCUCUGUCCCUGUUUCUUUUUCCACACAAGGGAUGGCAUUGUCUGUGUCAGUGAUGAGCGUUUGAGCUAAAGUUCAUGGCUGGCCUAGGAUCUUCCUUUUGGCUGCACUUCCCCCGUGAUCAGCUGCCUGUCAUAGGCUGUGGUGUUACUGACACCCCAAACAAGAUAGAAGCACAGGAAAACAAACAAAAUGAGGCUGCUUUUCCUUGCAAGCAUGUCAAAGGCUACAUUCAAAAUACCAAAUGUUAUAUUAAGUCUCAUCUUAAGAUGAAAGCAGACUUGGGGAAAGAUUUCACUAUUACAUUUUGCUGAGUCGAAUUCAGGGCUUGGCUUCAGGACUAAAAGCAUAAUUGGUAGCAAAUGUUCCCUAAUCUCACCACAAGUGAUUUUCUCUUUCUAGUGUAGAUUGCGCUACACACUUCCACACCCUCCAAACAGAUGCAAGACGACCAGAAAAGAAGAUUCCAUCUCACGUAUCAGAGGGACAAAUGGUUAGAAGAAUGGUAUUAAUUUGGAAUUCAAAAAGCUUACACCAGUCCACUAAGGACACCCAAAACAGCAUGCUACAACUCAUUUGAAUAAGAAUGUCAUUUUUAAAGCUCUGGAUUAAAGAAACUCAUUUUUGAGGAAAUAAUAAUCCCCUUACCCUACUCUACUCCCAAGCCAACCGAAAGAUCUCUCUUAGUCUACAGCAGCUCCGUGCACAGACCCAAUGCCUUUUGAUCGUCUGCUUGGCCCCCUGGCCAGAUGUGAUGAGGAGCUGGAUGUGGCGAGACAGUUUCCAAAUGUGAUGCUUGUGAGUUUUCUCAGGCCAUAGAGGGCUGAGUGAUUACGGGGUAUUACUCCAGCAGAGGAGCCUGACCACAGAGAGGGCAUCCCGUACAAGAGCCUGCAGCAGCCAGGACCACAUGGCGCAGUAGAAAGGAUGAGAGAGAAGCAAUGAUGUGUUUUGGGUCUCUAAUGUAUUCUAAGAAUGGUCAGUUGAGUCUCCCUUGUUUUCUUUAGAAACCAACUGCUUGAUUAUUGGAAUCUCUUCUAUAACGCUAUUUUAUUGCACUAAGAAAAAAACUUACCUUAUUUUCCAUUCGUAUGACAUCAUUAAAACAACAAACAGGGAAAAAGAGAGAUCAAUAAAUAGUAACAUAAGCGUCUACACAGCAGCCAACAUUGUUAAAAGGAAAAGCAAAUAGUGUCAUUGUUUCCCC